GAAGAAAGGGGGAGGCGUGCUUAACACAUGCAAGUCGAACGGAAAGGCCCUGCUUUUGUGGGGUGCUCGAGUGGCGAACGGGUGAGUAACACGUGAGUAACCUGCCCUUGACUUUGGGAUAACUUCAGGAAACUGGGGCUAAUACCGGAUAGGAGCUCCUGCUGCAUGGUGGGGGUUGGAAAGUUUCGGCGGUUGGGGAUGGACUCGCGGCUUAUCAGCUUGUUGGUGGGGUAGUGGCUUACCAAGGCUUUGACGGGUAGCCGGCCUGAGAGGGUGACCGGCCACAUUGGGACUGAGAUACGGCCCAGACUCCUACGGGAGGCAGCAGUGGGGAAUAUUGCACAAUGGGCGGAAGCCUGAUGCAGCAACGCCGCGUGCGGGAUGACGGCCUUCGGGUUGUAAACCGCUUUCGCCUGUGACGAAGCGUGAGUGUCGGUAAUGGGUAAAGAAGCACCGGCUAACUACGUG
RNAcentral lists this ribosomal RNA (468 nucleotides) under uncultured bacterium. Its description in RNAcentral is "partial 16S ribosomal RNA". It matches the Rfam family "Bacterial small subunit ribosomal RNA", at positions 38 to 507 of the family's 1533-position model. The record is from RNAcentral.